RNAcentral lists this ribosomal RNA (317 nucleotides) under uncultured Bacteroidales bacterium. RNAcentral's name for it is "partial 16S ribosomal RNA". Lineage: Bacteria; Pseudomonadati; Bacteroidota; Bacteroidia; Bacteroidales. The record is from RNAcentral.
GGAGUCUGGUCCGUGUCUCAGUACCAGUGUGGGGGGACCUUCCUCUCAGAACCCCUACGCAUCGAUGCCUUGGUGGGCCGUUGCCCCGCCAACUAACUAAUGCCACGCAUGCCCAUCCGCAACCUAUGAAUAUUUAAUCAAAAGGGGAUGCCCCCUCUCGAUACUAUCGGAGUUUAAUCGUCCUUUCGGUCGGCUAUCUCCGUGUUGCGGGCAGGUUGCAUACGCGUUACUCACCCGUCCGCCGCUCGCCACCAAUGUAUUGCUACACCGUGCUGCCGCUCGACUUGCAUGUGUUAGGCCUGCCGCUAGCGUUUAUC